Molecule: transfer RNA, 72 nt
Filed under: Armatimonadota bacterium
Lineage: Bacteria; Bacillati; Armatimonadota
Description: Armatimonadetes bacterium (rhizosphere metagenome) tRNA-Phe
Rfam family: tRNA
About the family: Transfer RNA (tRNA) molecules are approximately 80 nucleotides in length. Their secondary structure includes four short double-helical elements and three loops (D, anti-codon, and T loops).
Source: RNAcentral
GCCGCAGUAGCUCAGGAGUAGAGCAAUCGCCUGAAAAGUGAUGUGUCGGGAGUGCGAAUCUCUCCUGCGGCA